CAGGGAUCGAACUCGGGUCCUUGCACUUGUGCAGCAGGCGGCGAAACCACUAAGCUAAAUCCCUGGCCCAACUCUCCUACUUUUUGAAGAGAUCGAACUCGGGUCCUUGGCUUUCGAGGCAGGCGGCGGAACCAUUGAGCUAAAUCCCUGGCGAUAUAAUAAACUUUUAUCCUACAAAGGUUGUUGGCCAUCUUCCACAAAGAUGGCUUAGGUGUGGCUGCAUGGUGGGAGAGUUCUCAGUGCAAUAGUGGAAGCUGCAAGGGCAACAAAGGAAUCAGAAUUGAAGGCGGAGGGGAAGGGAAGGUGAUAGGUGGACAGACCACAGCACGCUCACCUCUGUGAUGGCCUGAAGCUGCAGCCGCUGCGCUGCUCUCCUGGGCCUGCGACACUCCAAAGGGACCCUGGGUGGAGCUGUGACGCGGGCCCACUUGUGGAGUGAGAACUUGCGGUGCAGUUACACUAACUGAAGCAUUCUUACUUUGGAAAAGUUGAAAGAUCAGAUGAGCUUUAGGUCAU
Heterocephalus glaber (naked mole-rat) is the source of this 516-nucleotide long non-coding RNA. The record is from Ensembl. NCBI's taxonomy places the organism in Eukaryota, Metazoa, Chordata, Mammalia, Rodentia, Bathyergidae.